GUUCACCAAAACAAACACUGUGAUGUCCUGCGAGGCUCCUAUGUUCAAUCCUCAUCAUGGUUCCUACCUUAAAGUAAGAACGCAGGAAUGUCUAUGAACCUCUUAGAAUCUCAAGGGGGUUGUGGGGCAUGAGAGUGGAGUCUGGUGAGCAAAUGAUUGAAGAAGCAGCUCAUGGAGAGCCUCUUCCCCAUCUGCCUGCUGAAUGAAGAAUCGGAGACAGAAGAAGCCUGAGUCCCUGAGUGACCAACUGCAUGGAAGGCCAUGCGAUGUCUUGGACUUCCAGGAAAUUGGGAACACCUUCUUAGAACUUCAUAUUGGCAAGAAAUCAGAUUGUAUUAGUUAAGUUGCUGAGAUUUCAGUUAUCUGUGACAGCAGUUAGCAUUCCCUAGUAUACACUUCCCUCUUCUCCAUUCUUUGCAAGUCUUAAGAGGUUAACAGAACUGAAUUCCAAUAUUAUCUUUUCUAAUUAGGUGUCAACUAUCACAUGAAUUAUGCCAGCUGAAAUAUGCCAUAACUUUGCAACUCUACAUGCCUGGGCAGAAAUUAGUCCAUGCCUUGUUAAUUCUGUAAUUAUGGAAUUCCAUAGAUAUAAAUAAAAGUUUUUUUAUCCCA
Molecule: non-coding RNA, 612 nt
Organism: Macaca mulatta (Rhesus monkey)
Lineage: Eukaryota; Metazoa; Chordata; Mammalia; Primates; Cercopithecidae
Source: RefSeq, a predicted model, not a curated record